UACGGAGGGCGCGAGCGUUACCCGGAUUUACUGGGCGUAAAGGGCGUGUAGGCGGCUUGGGGCGUCCCAUGUGAAAGACCACGGCUCAACCGUGGGGGAGCGUGGGAUACGCUCAAGCUAGAGGGUGGGAGAGGGUGGUGGAAUUCCCGGAGUAGCGGUGAAAUGCGCAGAUACCGGGAGGAACGCCGAUGGCGAAGGCAGCCACCUGGUCCACUUCUGACGCUGAGGCGCGAAAGCGUGGGGAGCAAACCGG
Molecule: ribosomal RNA, 253 nt
Filed under: uncultured bacterium
Lineage: Bacteria
Description: partial 16S ribosomal RNA
Rfam family: Bacterial small subunit ribosomal RNA
Source: RNAcentral